This 464-nucleotide ribosomal RNA is filed under the name uncultured Geobacteraceae bacterium. RNAcentral's name for it is "partial 16S ribosomal RNA". It matches the Rfam family "Bacterial small subunit ribosomal RNA", at positions 338 to 794 of the family's 1533-position model. Lineage: Bacteria; Pseudomonadati; Thermodesulfobacteriota; Desulfuromonadia; Geobacterales; Geobacteraceae. The record is from RNAcentral.
CCUACGGGAGGCAGCAGUGGGGAAUUUUGCGCAAUGGGGGCAACCCUGACGCAGCAACGCCGCGUGAGUGAUGAAGGCCUUCGGGUCGUAAAGCUCUGUCAGAGGGGAAGAAAUGCAGGUGGUGAACAACCAUUCUGUUUGACGGUACCCUCAAAGGAAGCACCGGCUAACUCCGUGCCAGCAGCCGCGGUAAUACGGGGGGUGCGAGCGUUGUUCGGAAUUAUUGGGCGUAAAGCGCGUGUAGGCGGUUUGUAAAGUCUGAGGUAAAAGCCCCGGGCUAAACCGGGGAAGUGCAUUGGAUACUGGCAGACUUGAGUACGGGAGAGGAGAGUGGAAUUCCCGGUGUAGGAGUGAAAUCCGUAGAUAUUGGGAGGAACACCGGGGGCGAGGGCGGCUCUCGGGACCGAUACUGACGCUGAGACGCGAAAGCGUGGGGAGCAAACAGGAUUAGAACCCCCGGUAGU